Molecule: ribosomal RNA, 461 nt
Filed under: Cervus nippon (sika deer)
Lineage: Eukaryota; Metazoa; Chordata; Mammalia; Artiodactyla; Cervidae
Description: partial 16S ribosomal RNA
Rfam family: Bacterial large subunit ribosomal RNA
Source: RNAcentral
AGCAUAACUAGUAUUGGAGGCACUGCCUGCCCAGUGACAACCGUUAAACGGCCGCGGUAUCCUGACCGUGCAAAGGUAGCAUAAUCACUUGUUCUCUAAAUAGGGACUUGUAUGAAUGGCCACACGAGGGUUUUACUGUCUCUUACUUCCAAUCAGUGAAAUUGACCUUCCCGUGAAGAGGCGGGAAUAUAUCAAUAAGACGAGAAGACCCUAUGGAGCUUUAACUACUUAGCCCAAAAGAAACAAAUUUCAUUACUAAGGAAACAACAGUACUCUUUAUGGGCUAACAGCUUUGGUUGGGGCGACCUCGGAGAACAAGAAAUCCUCCGAGCGAUUUUAAAGACUAGACCUACAAGUCGAAUCACACAAUCGUUCAUUGAUCCAAAAAAUUGAUCAACGGAACAAGUUACCCUAGGGAUAACAGCGCAAUCCUAUUCAAGAGUUCAUAUCGACAAUAGGGU